UUGUGAAAUUAUGGUAAUUAUCUUUUGGAAUUGACUUGAAAUGUGAGAAUACUCAUUGUCAUUG
Small nucleolar RNA from Sorex fumeus (smoky shrew), 64 nucleotides. RefSeq annotates it as small nucleolar RNA SNORD2. NCBI's taxonomy places the organism in Eukaryota, Metazoa, Chordata, Mammalia, Eulipotyphla, Soricidae. The record is from RefSeq and is a predicted model, not a curated record. The transcript has a single exon.